RNAcentral lists this ribosomal RNA (550 nucleotides) under uncultured bacterium. Its description in RNAcentral is "bacterial SSU rRNA". It matches the Rfam family "Bacterial small subunit ribosomal RNA", at positions 355 to 896 of the family's 1533-position model. The record is from RNAcentral.
UAGGGAAUCUUCCGCAAUGGGCGAAAGCCUGACGGAGCAACGCCGCGUGAGUGAAGAAGGUUUUCGGAUCGUAAAACUCUGUUGUUAGAGAAGAACAAGUGCUAGAGUAACUGUUAGCGCCUUGACGGUAUCUAACCAGAAAGCCACGGCUAACUACGUGCCAGCAGCCGCGGUAAUACGUAGGUGGCAAGCGUUGUCCGGAUUUAUUGGGCGUAAAGCGAGCGCAGGCGGUUCCUUAAGUCUGAUGUGAAAGCCCCCGGCUCAACCGGGGAGGGUCAUUGGAAACUGGGGAACUUGAGUGCAGAAGAGGAGAGUGGAAUUCCAUGUGUAGCGGUGAAAUGCGUAGAUAUAUGGAGGAACACCAGUGGCGAAGGCGACUCUCUGGUCUGUAACUGACGCUGAGGCUCGAAAGCGUGGGUAGCAAACAGGAUUAGAUACCCUGGUAGUCCACGCCGUAAACGAUGAGUGCUAAGUGUUGGAGGGUUUCCGCCCUUCAGUGCUGUAGUUAACGCAUUAAGCACUCCGCCUGGGGAGUACGACCGCAAGGUUG